AUGCCUUGGGCCAAGUCUGGCUGAGGGUCGC
RNAcentral lists this ribosomal RNA (31 nucleotides) under Pethia gelius (golden barb). Its description in RNAcentral is "partial 5.8S ribosomal RNA". Lineage: Eukaryota; Metazoa; Chordata; Actinopteri; Cypriniformes; Cyprinidae. The record is from RNAcentral.